RNAcentral lists this ribosomal RNA (721 nucleotides) under uncultured bacterium. RNAcentral's name for it is "bacterial SSU rRNA". It matches the Rfam family "Bacterial small subunit ribosomal RNA", at positions 9 to 727 of the family's 1533-position model. The record is from RNAcentral.
GAGUUUGAUCCUGGCUCAGAUUGAACGCUGGCGGAAUGCUUUACACGUGCAAGUCGAGCGGCAGCGCGGGGCAACCUGGCGGCGAGCGGCGAACGGGUGAGUAACACAUCGGAACGUGCCCAGACGUGGGGGAUAGCCCGGCGAAAGCCGGAUUAAUACCGCAUGUGAUCUGAGGAUGAAAGUGGGGGACCGCAAGGCCUCACGCGUUUGGAGCGGCCGAUGGCAGAUUAGGUAGUUGGUGGGGUAAAGGCUUACCAAGCCUGCGAUCUGUAGCUGGUCUGAGAGGAUGAUCAGCCACACUGGGACUGAGACACGGCCCAGACUCCUACGGGAGGCAGCAGUGGGGAAUUUUGGACAAUGGGCGCAAGCCUGAUCCAGCCAUUCCGCGUGCAGGACGAAGGCCUUCGGGUUGUAAACUGCUUUUGUACGGAACGAAAGGGCUCUCUCUAAUACAGGGGGCAUAUGACGGUACCGUAAGAAUAAGCACCGGCUAACUACGUGCCAGCAGCCGCGGUAAUACGUAGGGUGCAAGCGUUAAUCGGAAUUACUGGGCGUAAAGCGUGCGCAGGCGGUUUUGUAAGACAGAGGUGAAAUCCCCGGGCUCAACCUGGGAACGGCCUUUGUGACUGCAAAGCUGGAGUGCGGCAGAGGGGGAUGGAAGUCCGCGUGUAGCAGUGAAAUGCGUAGAUAUGCGGAGGAACACCGAUGGCGAAGGCAAUCC